UGGAAUCAUUCUGUGAACAACCUGAAGCCUUCAGCAGCAGUUAGUUAUUUAUGAAGGUAAUAAAUAGGCAUAACUGUUUAUUCAUUGCAGGUAUGCCUGUGUCUGGAGGAGAUGGAGGGCAAUUUUCAAAUUUUAUCCACAUGAUGGAUGUGGAAGGGAGGCCAUGGGAUAAGAGGACACCCGACCAGAAACAAGCUGCCUUUUUGUUGUUAAUAGCCAGGAAGUCUCUGCGGUGCAGAUGUGACAGCAACAGCAAAACCUAUUUUGAGGUCCUGUCCCAUGAAGUAGCUGUCUUUCUCAGCAGGAAGUGUCUUGCAUGUUUUCUGGUUUGA
Anser brachyrhynchus (Pink-footed goose) is the source of this 332-nucleotide long non-coding RNA. The record is from Ensembl. NCBI's taxonomy places the organism in Eukaryota, Metazoa, Chordata, Aves, Anseriformes, Anatidae.